UGUUUCGGCUAGGGGGUCAUCCCGACUUACCAACCCGAUGCAAACUGCGAAUACCGAAGAAUGUUAUCACGGGAGACACACGGCGGGUGCUAACGUCCGUCGUGAAGAGGGAAACAACCCAGACCGCCAGCUAAGGUCCCAAAGUCAUGGUUAAGUGGGAAACGAUGUGGGAAGGCUCAGACAGCCAGGAUGUUGGCUUAGAAGCAGCCAUCAUUUAAAGAAAGCGUAAUAGCUCACUGGUCGAGUCGGCCUGCGCGGAAGAUGUAACGGGGCUAAACCAUGCACCGAAGCUGCGGCAGCGACACUAAGUGUUGUUGGGUAGGGGAGCGUUCUGUAAGCCUGUGAAGGUGUGCUGUGAGGCAUGCUGGAGGUAUCAGAAGUGCGAAUGCUGACAUAAGUAACGAUAAAGCGGGUGAAAAGCCCGCUCGCCGGAAGACCAAGGGUUCCUGUCCAACGUUAAUCGGGGCAGGGUGAGUCGACCCCUAAGGCGAGGCCGAAAGGCGUAGUCGAUGGGAAACAGGUUAAUAUUCCUGUACUUGGUGUUACUGCGAAGGGGGGACGGAGAAGGCUAUGUUGGCCGGGC
This 583-nucleotide ribosomal RNA is filed under the name Citrobacter amalonaticus. RNAcentral describes it as "partial 23S ribosomal RNA". It matches the Rfam family "Bacterial large subunit ribosomal RNA", at positions 911 to 1496 of the family's 2925-position model. The record is from RNAcentral. Lineage: Bacteria; Pseudomonadati; Pseudomonadota; Gammaproteobacteria; Enterobacterales; Enterobacteriaceae.